GACGAACGCUGGCGGCGUGCUUAACACAUGCAAGUCGAACGGAAAGGCCCUGCUUUUGUGGGGUGCUCGAGUGGCGAACGGGUGUGUAACACGUGAGUAACCUGCCCUUGACUUUGGGAUAACUUCAGGAAACUGGGGCUAAUACCGGAUAGGAGCUCCUGCUGCAUGGUGGGGGUUGGAAAGUUUCGGCGGUUGGGGAUGGACUCGCGGCUUAUCAGCUUGUUGGUGGGGUAGUGGCUUACCAAGGCUUUGACGGGUAGCCGGCCUGAGAGGGUGACCGGCCACAUUGGGACUUAGAUACGACCCAGACACCUACGGGAGGCAGCAGUGGGGAAUAGUGCACAAUGGGCGGAAGCCUAAUGCAGCAACGCCGCGUGCGGGAUGACGGCCUUCGGGUUGUAAACCGCUUUCGCCUGUGACGAAGCGUGAGUGACGGUAAUGGGUAAAGAAGCACCGGCUAACUACGUG
RNAcentral lists this ribosomal RNA (468 nucleotides) under uncultured bacterium. RNAcentral's name for it is "partial 16S ribosomal RNA". It matches the Rfam family "Bacterial small subunit ribosomal RNA", at positions 28 to 507 of the family's 1533-position model. The record is from RNAcentral.